CCCUUAGAUGUUCUGGGCUGCACGCGUGCUACGAUGGCGUUUCCAGCAAGUCUGCGAACCCGAGAGGGCCAGCGGAUCUUCGAAUUGGCGUCGUGAUCGGGACAGUCGAUUGCAAUUAUUUGACUCAAACGAGGAAUUCCUUGUAAUCGCGAUUCAUCAUAUCGCGCUGAAUACGUCCCUGCCCUUUGUACACACCGCCCGUCGCUCCUACCGAUUGAGCGAUCCGGUAAAUGUUUUGGAUUGGUGCCGGGGCGGCUAGCUGCCGGUCGCUACGAAAUUUUGUGAACCUUAUCGCUUAGAGGAAGGAAAAGUCGUAACA
This 319-nucleotide ribosomal RNA is filed under the name uncultured eukaryote. RNAcentral's name for it is "partial 18S ribosomal RNA". It matches the Rfam family "Eukaryotic small subunit ribosomal RNA", at positions 1470 to 1796 of the family's 1831-position model. The record is from RNAcentral.